Molecule: non-coding RNA, 74 nt
Organism: Podarcis lilfordi (Lilford's wall lizard)
Lineage: Eukaryota; Metazoa; Chordata; Lepidosauria; Squamata; Lacertidae
Source: the annotation of a GenBank genome assembly
GCCUGGAUAGCUCAGUUGGUUAGAGCAUGGUGUUGAUAAAGUCAAGGUUGCAUGUUUGAUUCCUGUGGGAGACA